CAAUUUAUUAUGUGUCGUUAGUCUCUUUCUGUUAAGUAAUGACGUGGGAGACAGAGUGUCAAAUUAUCAUUGACACAUUAUCUCCUUCAAUGACGUGGUACUUCGUCUGCCAUGUCAUCACUUAACGAAAAAGGACUAACGACAGGUAGUA
This 151-nucleotide microRNA precursor is filed under the name Glycine max (soybean). Its description in RNAcentral is "miR4399 stem-loop (gma-MIR4399)". The record is from miRBase by way of RNAcentral. Lineage: Eukaryota; Viridiplantae; Streptophyta; Magnoliopsida; Fabales; Fabaceae.